RNAcentral lists this long non-coding RNA (881 nucleotides) under Anas platyrhynchos platyrhynchos (common mallard). RNAcentral describes it as "lncRNA (ENSAPLG00000023972.1)". Lineage: Eukaryota; Metazoa; Chordata; Aves; Anseriformes; Anatidae. The record is from RNAcentral.
AAUAUUUGCUUUUUUUGCAACAGAGGGAAAGUUUGCUUUCCCAGUAUAUGGGUUAACCUUCCAAAUGCAGGAAUAUGCUGAAAUUUGAGAACAGAAAUACAGCAAAAUAGCCAAAAGCAGGUGCUCUGAAUAUACUGAGUUAUGUUUUAUGAUUAUUGAUAAAUCUAUGAUUUGUAGGUCUCAUUGUACUUACACUGCACAAACCACUAUCCAUUACCAUAUAUGUCGUUAGAGAAGACUAGAAAAACAAUUUCUUUUCUUCUGAAUGACAACAAAAGACCACAGUUCUAUGUGUAGUCUUCACACCUGGAGUUUCUCUUCUUGAGCACUGGGAUGUAGGUCAAACUACACAGCAGGAGUUUGUGUUGUCUUGGCAUGAAGCAGAAGAUGGAAUGUCAACAGCAGGUCCAUAAUACCAUUCCUCCUGGAUGGUAUUCUGCCCUGAAAGUGCACAAAAGAGGAAAAUCCUCCCUGUUCAUGGAAGUGAUCUCCCUGGAUGUGGGUGAAAUGUCCACUACUGCUAAUUUAAUUGCAAGUGGAAUCCUCUACUGCCUGAAAGUAAUUCACAUUUUUCAAUAGCAGGUACAGAAAAAACAGAUUUUAUUGGAACUGUGUUUCUUGAAAAUGAGAGAGUAGCCUCAAGAGAGGCUACUAUGAAAUCCCUAUAGCUGGCUUGUGUGUCAAUGACAGAUGACUGAUGCAGAGGGACACAUUCUGAUAUCAUUUACUCUCCAGUGAAGAUUCUGGAUUUACAUCUGGCUACUUUGGCAAAAGUAAGGUCAGAAUCUAUAUCUGAAUUGUCUUGGCAAACACUAUGUUAGCCUUUUCAAAGACACUUUUGAAGUUAUACUGUUAUGCCUAUUUAGUAAAUAAAGUUAAAG